Molecule: ribosomal RNA, 404 nt
Filed under: uncultured bacterium
Lineage: Bacteria
Description: bacterial SSU rRNA
Rfam family: Bacterial small subunit ribosomal RNA
Source: RNAcentral
UUUUGGACAAUGGGCGAAAGCCUGAUCCAGCAAUGCCGCGUGCAGGAAGAAGGCCUUCGGGUUGUAAACUGCUUUUGUACGGAACGAAACGGUCCUGGUUAAUACCUGGGGCUAAUGACGGUACCGUAAGAAUAAGCACCGGCUAACUACGUGCCAGCAGCCGCGGUAAUACGUAGGGUGCAAGCGUUAAUCGGAAUUACUGGGCGUAAAGCGUGCGCAGGCGGUUUUGUAAGACAGGCGUGAAAUCCCCGGGCUUAACCUGGGAAUGGCGCUUGUGACUGCAAAGCUGGAGUGCGGCAGAGGGGGAUGGAAUUCCGCGUGUAGCAGUGAAAUGCGUAGAUAUGCGGAGGAACACCGAUGGCGAAGGCAAUCCCCUGGGCCUGCACUGACGCUCAUGCACGAAG